Molecule: long non-coding RNA, 294 nt
Filed under: Zostera marina
Lineage: Eukaryota; Viridiplantae; Streptophyta; Magnoliopsida; Alismatales; Zosteraceae
Description: long non-coding RNA (ZMAR_LNC005298)
Source: RNAcentral
CGGUCAUGGCGACGCUCUUUGAUCACUUCCUUUGGUCCUUUUUCUGACUCGUUCAUUAUAACUUAUAAGGUGGCCGAAGAAGCAGGUCAAUGUUUGAUAAGGUUUGGCGCAAUCUCAGCCGUUGGUUUUCUUCAUAUGUCGCCAUGUCGGUGGUUUUCUCAUUUAUACUCUUCCAGAAAACUGCAUAAAUGGACGCAGCCCGCAUGGCGGCAUGGAGGAUCUUUCGAGGAAGUAGGCAGCAAAACAGUAACUCUUGCUUUUUCUUUUUCUUAUUCUUUGCAUUUUAAGUCCCUG